This 1962-nucleotide long non-coding RNA is filed under the name Strigops habroptila (Kakapo). RNAcentral describes it as "lncRNA (ENSSHBG00005009136.1)". The record is from RNAcentral. Lineage: Eukaryota; Metazoa; Chordata; Aves; Psittaciformes; Psittacidae.
CACCAUAAAUAGGACCUCGCUCAACCAGGAUAUGCUUUAGGCCCUUAAAUGUCCAGUACCUCUCAAUUCAUAUUAUUUUUGGUGAUUUUAAAAAGGGGGUUGAAAGGCACGUGCCUGCCCCAGGAUAACUCAUUUUCUAAAAGUGAAUGAGCAGUUUAGUCAUGACCUCACCAGGCCAAGGGGUUUGGGACAGCAUCCCUCACUACAGGCAGGAGGUGACUCUUUGAGCAGUCAACAGUGCAUGGUGGCCCCUGGAGGAGAAACUCAGUGUAUAAAAAUGUCAUGGUACAGAUAUCCUAUAGUAGCUUUUCAGUGUUGAACUUACACUUUUUUUAGAAGAACUGUAAUGAAGAUGUUACAUUGCUCCGAUGGCGUAAGUCUUGCUGGUCUAUGUUUAAUGUGGUGACACUUGCCAGAACUACUUGGUAAAACAUGUCAGAACGUGUGAGUCAACAUUCUACUGUAAAUUUGUCCACAGCGAUAUGUAUCAUGCUGUAUUUUUGUAAACAUUGUGAUGGUUUCCUUUCAAAUGUUUAAUCAUAUGAGAUUAAAAAUACAAAUGCUUCAUUUUUAACAGUCACAGAAUUACUGGGCUGGGCAGACCUCUCUCAAUAACCUAAAGAUACGCUGACAUAACUAGUAAGCCUAGCUUUAUUUUCAGCGUAAAAUGUGUAGCCAGCAUCCUGGGACCUCUCACAAUCCUCUACUCUCAUACUGUGCAAAAUAACCAAAUGUAUAAUUUCAUCCUGAAAGCCACUUUGGCACGAGAGAUGGCUUUGCAGGUUUGGAUCUUUCUUUACAGACAAAAAUUUUGCUCUCAGUUGCUUAUGCGCACUGGCCAGUGACAUGAAUCAUAGUCACAGACAGGCAUUAGCAGACACCAGCUCAUCUUUUUUUUGUUCACGCUUGGGUUUAAAAUAACAGAGUACGACAACUUUCCUCAGUUGUCUCUUUGGUUUUAAUUGCCAUCAUGGACACUUGACUCUUGACCCAUCCAUUUCAUUUAAACAAAAAUAAAACCCAAAUCUUUCACAACAGCUUAUUCCAAUUAACUUGUUCAUGAGGCAUUAUAAAUUCAUACACAUUGAAGUGUCUAAAUAUCUGCAAGAGGUUAGGCAUAGUAGUAUGGGACCUGAAAUAAUAGAUAGUACGUAAGCCCUUGCACAGCGAGAUAGCCAUAUUUAAGCAGUGUGCUUUGAAAGUCAUGCAUCCCUUCCCAGCUCUGGAUGUAGACAGCAGGUGACAGAAGGAAACCGCUAUCUAUCAUGUCACUCCAGAAAGUCCCAGGAGAAUAGAGAUUCUUGUCUUACCCUUCCAUACUCUUUAAUCUUAACUGUCAUUUAUGUAUCUGCCUUCUCUCAAACUUUGUGUAGCAGUACUGCACGCCCAUCUGUGCCAACAUGCCUUCGCUAUAUUUUCUAUGACAAAUAUUUGUGGAGAAACUGUGAUUAAAAAACCAUUAAUCCUGAUAUUUUUAUUGUUAUGGUGUAGUUAAUUCUAUGAAUACUUUCUAAUGAUGAUUGUACUGUGUAGAGUAAGUACAGGUUAGGGAUAGACCUUUACCAGAUACUGUACAAAAAAAAAAAAGUGCAUAGUGUAAUAUAGAUUAGUAAGGUUUUUGUGACAAUUUCUAUAGGAUGUGUGAAUCGUUUUCUAUGUGGCAACACACAUUUCUUUUAAAGAAUAUAAAAUCUUAGAGAUUUUUUAAACAGUCAAUAUUUUUUAAUUAUAAAGACAUUUGUUACCUAAAGUUUACUAUUUCAGGUGUUAAUUCUAAUUUGAAUAUUGGUUUUAUUACUACAUACCUCCAGUUCCAUUUGUUCUGUUGCAUAAAAAUGCACAAUAAAAGUCUCUGGUUAACCUGUCUCUUUCUCUGUAGGCAUCGUUGUGUCAGCAUGAUAGCUGUCAGAACUGGUUCUCACUAUAAAUAUGUAUUAAAAGUUUUAGAUAUAUAUGUAAAAA